ACAUAAUGGUGCAGUGUUAGCUAGAGGGGAACAUAUUAUAGUAGACCAUGAUUACAACAUAAUUUGAGCAUUGCUGGUAGUCAGUGUUGCUUUCAUAUUGGCAAUAUUCGGGCAANAAGAAUCUAAAUCCUGUUAUUCUUUAUCAAUAGAUUUUGGUUGUACAGGAAAUUCCCUUUCUAUAGAAGAACUAAUAUCCCCAUUUCUUCAUGAUCUUGAAGUCGCACCAGAAAA
This 231-nucleotide unclassified non-coding RNA is filed under the name Hevea brasiliensis (rubber tree). Lineage: Eukaryota; Viridiplantae; Streptophyta; Magnoliopsida; Malpighiales; Euphorbiaceae. The record is from RNAcentral.